RNAcentral lists this long non-coding RNA (215 nucleotides) under Gossypium raimondii (Peruvian cotton). Its description in RNAcentral is "long non-coding RNA (GRAI_LNC004275)". Lineage: Eukaryota; Viridiplantae; Streptophyta; Magnoliopsida; Malvales; Malvaceae. The record is from RNAcentral.
UUGGAACUUAGUGUAGUAGGCCCAAUUUGCCCGGGCCCAAAAAAAACCAAAAAAAUAAAAGAGUCCAAGUCCAAAUUAUUACAAACUCAAAAUAAAAACCCUAAGCCCAAUUAAUAGGCCUACAACCUAAUCUAAUUCAAAAACCCUCGGGUUUCUGAAUCCCAUGUGCGUCGCUGCCUUCAACCACGUCAGCACGCUCGUCCCGAGGCUCCCCG